Meriones unguiculatus (Mongolian gerbil) is the source of this 7123-nucleotide long non-coding RNA. RefSeq lists it as uncharacterized. NCBI's taxonomy places the organism in Eukaryota, Metazoa, Chordata, Mammalia, Rodentia, Muridae. The transcript has 6 exons. The record is from RefSeq and is a predicted model, not a curated record.
AUGAUGCAAGGAAGGCACUCCCCUGCAAACUCUUUGCAGUCAGGCCCGCGGCUCCGCUUCCAGCUGGAGCAGCCGGCAUGAAAAGCCCCAACUUGGUCAUGAGCACUGUCCACUGAAAGUCCAGAACAGCUGGGCCUUGUUCAUCGGGGUCAGCUAAGGUUUCUGUUUCCCAGGCUCAAGAAGACAAAGGAAGGAAAGCAUAGAGCAUGUGAAGGAAAAUGCCUGAAAAGAAGCUGUGUCUAGCUGUGAACAAAAACAAACUCCUGGAAGGAACAUCUCGGUACAAUGAGGCUGACUAUGCUCGGAGAGAGUGAAUGCAGUCUGAGAGGGAUUGAGGGGUUCUGCAUUACUUGAUGAGCUCUCACAAGCCCCUCCCUCCUUUGAAGAAUGGAGCCAUUAACUCCUGGAAGAAUUGCAGCCUCACACCUCCACCCAAACACUGCAGAAAUUACCUGGAGCUGAAAAGACACACUGAGUGCUUUACCCUCAUGGAGAAACGCUGAUUUAAUGCCCAGCUGGAGCUCUGACACUUCAGGAAACAGGAGCAGGACAAAACAACCCAAACACCAGAACACAGCACUCCUGGGAGAAGAUCACGGCAGCCUGUGCUACUGAGUCAGCAUUUGACAAGCCUGAGCGAGGAAAGUGUGGGCACAUGUCCCAGGAGAAUCAGCACUUUUAAAACAGGAAAUGAUCUCCACAGAACGUCAACACACAAGUAGGUUCUGAGGCAGAUGGAGCAGAGCAAGAAGCGGAUGGCAGCAUUUCAGAGUGCCAUGCUCUUACAGGCUGUGUGUCUACCCAGAGCCCCCGAGAGCUGUCAGCAACACCUUUCCCUACUGGACUCACAGGCUCAGCAACCUCUCGCUGGGAUCCUAGGCUUCCCCCUACGCUGUCAUAGGUGGCCAGCCUGUUGUUCUGCGUCCUGAUUUUCUGUCUCUGGAUUACAGGCUCAACACCUGUAAUCCCAGCACAGGGAAAUCUGGGAUAGUAAGAUCUGUUGCAAGUUCAAGGCCAGCCUGGGCUACAAAGUGAGACCCUAUGCUCAAAAAACUUUUUUUUUCUGUAGUAGCUUCCUAUUCAUUUAAAAAUAAAAAACAUAAACAUUUUCAAAGUUGAACAUGUAAAGACAGCAUUAAGAAUAUAUGUUAUUUGAGUUGCCUGCCUUAAUGCCAUCUUUCCUGUUGCCAACUGAAUUAUUUGCUCAUAGUAAACAUUAAGAUGCACUGAGCACCUUGAAAACUGAAGUGUCCCAUGUCUGUGUCAAAGGGGUCACUGGUAAGAUGAUUUUCUUGCAGAGUCCUGGCUGAGCAAAGACCACAGGGAAUGGCUGGAGAAGAAAAAAGGGAGUUGAGCAGCCCCUUGAGGUGACAGGAACCAUGCUGAGCUGAAGAACCGCCUAGGAGGGCCUACAAAUAAAACAAUGCUGCUCUGUGCGGUGAUUAACAGUGAGGGCAUGUAAGGGUGGCGCGGACUUCCACAGACAGAGCCCAUUUUAAAAGGCCAUUUGAGCACCAUCCCUCCCUGACCUUUCGUUGUGGCCCCAGUUGGCCCCAUGCUGUCCGGGUCACCCAUCUCUAAGGUACGGUGGCCCUGCUCUAUCUGUGGCUUCGCUUUCUUGUGAACAGUCAUUAUCUAAGAAUAUACAGUAGAAAAUUCCAGAAAUGAUCAGUUAGUUCCUGGCUUCUAAAUUGUAGCCCACCUCAUGUAGUAUGAGAUUUCACACUACUCCAUCCUUUCCCAGUAAGUACAUGGGCCAUCCCUUGUCCAGUGUGUCUACCCUGUGUAGGCUAUCCACCCAUUAGUGACAUUGCCACCUCAGAUAUCAGAUCCACUGUGGCAGUAUGUCAGUGCUAGUAUCGCCACUUGCCAGCUUUAGGGAAGGCCUCAAAGUGCAAGAAUGAUACUCAUAGGAAGUCCAAUACACCAAACAGAACCUAUAGAAUGUACUUAGGUAUAGCAUGGCCUGUUGUUUCAGGCAGCCAUGAAGGGUCUUGAAGCAUCCCCCAACAGAUAGGGGAGUUGGCUGUUCUACCGGCUUUUAAAAUAUAAUGUAUGUUUGGAAAUGGGCAAGCUGUGGAGGUUUGAAUGAGAUUUCCCCUUGGCCUUAGGUAUUUGAAUGAUUGGUCCCUAGUUGGUGGAGCUGUUUGGUACAGUUUAGGAGGUACUGUUGUUGAAGGGAGUAUUUCACUGGAGGUGAGAUUUUUGUGUUUAAAGACUUACAUUAUUCCCAGUUUUCUCUCUGUCUUGUGCUUAAGGUUCAAGCAGUAAACCCCGAGCUUUUGCUGUCAGCAUCUAGCCCCUCUCUGCUGUCUCUCUGCUCCACCAUUAUGGAUUCUAGCCCUCUGGAACCUGGACCAAGAAGCCCCAACAAACUUUCUUUUUCAUAAGUUGUCUUGGUCAUAAAGUUUUACCACACUAGUAGAAAACUGACUAAUUUAGAAGUUGGUGCCAGGAUAUUGUGGUGACAGACUCUGCCAUGCUGUUUCAUAGAGAAAUAUGAAAAACAUUGGGACUUCAGAGUAGAAAAGUGAUUGACUAGGGUAAGCAGAGCUUAAUGGGCCAUCCUGGUAGGAGCUUAGAAGACAGUAGCACUGAGAGCCAUGCAGACUGCGGAGGCCCAGCUCAAGGGGCUUCAAAGGGAGCAAUAUCAGCAGCGGGGCCAGAGAUCAAUCUUAAGAUAUUUUAGCAAAAAAUAUGGCUGUCUGGUCUUAUCCUAAGAAUUUGCCUGAGUAAUGUACUAAUUUAUUUGGUGGAGGAGAGAGCAAGAUAACCUACUAUUGACUCUGUCACACAGUUAUUGUGAUCACUCCUGUGCAGAUCUACAAUGAAAAAGAGCAAGUCAGACAAAAAGGAAUACAAAAUAUACAGUUUAAUAAGAAAAAGAGCACCAGAAAUCUUAAUGUUGCAGCCAAGGCUCUCAGACAAGGAGGUUAAGAGAGGCCUGAUCUGAAUUGUAAUUAAGGGAGGGAUGCCCUCAGGGAAAGACUUCAUCCAGCUCAGCUUCCAACUUUUAAAAAGGAAAGACCUAAAGAAUUUUUCUGCUUUUAAAAAUCAACAACAAAGGGGGAAACGCUGCAAAUGUGAUCUAAGGGAGGCCAGGCUCCAUCCCAAGCAGGCAGUCAAACUUGGCAGGAUUGUCGACAUGCUUCUGGCUUUAGAGACAUGAAGAAAACACAGUGUUAUAGAAUCUUCCUCCACGGUUAAGGACUGCCACGAGGCCAGGCAUGUGGCAGAGGAGUCCCGACAUGGAGGCCCUGAAAGGCUCCUGCAUGAAGCUGUGAAAGUGAUGCAUGGAUUGCCUUGAAGACCCCCAAAAUGUUAGAGACGCCAGAUCUGUGGGUUAUCUGCCAAAGAGAGCUGCCAACAGGGAGUGGAAACAGCCCCAGGAGUAUUUGUUGCAGGCAGCAAAGCUAGAAGGGUGGAGCUAUACAAGCCUUCAUAUCCAAGACAAUGGAUAUGAAGCUACAGGAUUUGGGAUUUGCCCCGCAAAAGUUCCAUAUUGCUUUGGUCAAGUAUUUUCUCACUGUGCCCGAAUUCCUCUCUUUUGGAAUAGUAAUGUAUAUUUUGUGCCAUUAUAUGUUAGAAGUAUGUAAUUUGCUUUUUGAUUUUAUAGGGGUUUACAAUUAAGACACUGUCUUGAUUAACAGAGGAGACUUUGAAUUUUAGACUUUCAAACACUGUUGAUACUGUAAAAGACUAGGGUGUAAGAUGGACUCUCAGAGUCGUUUUGAUGCAUUUCCCUCAUGACUAAGGACAAUGAGAAUUUCUUUAAAUGUUUCUUAGCCAUUAGAUAUUCUUCUGUUGAGAAUUCGUGGUUUAGCUCUGUAUUCCAUUCUUUAUUGCGUUAUUUGGCUUAUUAGUAUUUAAUUUCUUGAGUUCUUUAUAUAUUUUUGACAUUAGCUAAAAUAAAAAACUCAAGUGACAGCACAUCUUGGUGAGGAUGUAGAUCAAGGGAAACACUUCUCCAUUGCUAAUAGGAGUGCAAACUUGUAUAACCACUUUGGAAAUCAUUCUGGUGCUUUCUCAGAAAAUUGGGAAUAGCUCUACCUCAAGACCCUAUAUCUCUCCUGGGCAUAUACUCAAAAGAUGUUCUACCAUACCACAAGGACAUUUGUUCAACUAUGUUCAUAGCAGAUUUACUCAUAAUAGCUAGAAACUGGGAACAACCCAAAUGUCCUUCAACUGAAGAAUGGAUUUAAAAAAAAAAAAAAGUGGUACAUUUACACAAUGAAAUACUACUCAGCUAUUAAAAACAAAGAAAUCAUGAAAUUUGCAGGCAAAUGGAUGAAACUAAAAAAGAUCAUCCCAAAAGUGGUAACCCAGACCCAGAAAGACACACAUGACAGGAGCCUAGCAUAACUGUCCUUUGAGAGGCUCCACCCAGCAGGGGAUCAAAACAGGUACAGGAAGUUUUAUGGAAGGGUUGGGAGAAGGAUAAAGGGACCUGGAGGGGACAAGAACUCCACAAGAAGACCAACAGAGUCAAUGAGCCUAAGCCAUGGGGACUCACAGAGACUGAAGCACCAACCAAGGAGCAUGCAUGAAUUGGACCUAUGCCUCCCUACACAUCUGUAGCUGAUAGGCAUCUUGGUCUUCAUGUGGGUCUUCCAACAACUGGGGUAAGGACUCUCUCUGACAUGGACUCUGUUACCUGCUAUUGGAUCACUUCCCCCUAGCUGGGCUGCCUUGUCUGGCCUCAGUGGAAGAGCAUGCACUUAGUCCUGAUGUGACUUAUGUGAUGGGGUGGGUUGGGGAGAGGCUCCCCUUUUCAGAAGAGAAAGGGGGAGAAUGAGGCAAGAGGGGAAAGAGUGAGACUGGGAAAAGAGGAGGAGAGGGCUUCGAUCAGGAUAUAAGUUAAUAACUUAAUUAAUGAGGAAAAAAGACUUGGGACUUUUGAAAUUGAACUAAAUGUAUUUGCACUGGAAGGUGGCCAUGAGAAUAUGGGGGUCAGUAAGUUAAUAUGUGGUCUGAGUGAGAAUCUCCCCCAUUGCCUAAAGGAAUUUGGAUACUUGGUCCCCAGGAUAGUCCUCAGCUGUUUAGGGAGGCAUAGAAGGCAUGAUGGUCAUGGACUCUUAUCCAUCUAGAACCAUAAGCUCAAAUAAACUUUUUCUUACAUAGGCUGCCUUGGUCACGAUAUUUUAUUACAGCAAUAGAAAAGUAACUGAUAUAUUACCAAAAUAUCGACUGCAAGUAAAAAGACAGUCAAUCUCCUAAUGUUUAUAGGAAGCAAGAAAUGAUCCCUGGUGGGGAGGAUAGCAAGGCUCCAGUUAGAGCUCUAGGAGGAGCUGCAUGAGCAAGAAGUAAUAAUACCACGGGUAGUUACAAAUGCUUGAGUUUACUGGAUCCAGCAUAAUACAACCAUGCUAUUACUUGGUUUUAAGUGUGUGUAGUUGUGCAUGAGCAUUUAAACAAGAAAGCUAUGUUUCCUCUUCAUUUUAGUUACUAGAGUAUUGGGAAGUACAUGUUGUGUGAGGUGGAAGGUAGGAAUUCAAUUUAUUUAAUUUUUUAAUAUGGAGAACAAAUAGCUCAAACCAAUAGUUACUUAAUAAAAGUCCACCCCUCACCCCAUCCCACCCCAUCCACCAUUCAAAACAUCAAUAGGUAUAACUUUCUUUCAGGGAUUCAUUUGUCUGUAUUAUCUUGGCACCCAUACUACACUCUUGGUCAUUCAUGUGUUCGAUUACUACUUAUACAGUGUCUGGUGGAUGCCAGGAAGUAUUCUAAGUACUUGGAGUAUAUGAACUAAGAAACAGACCCGAUCUUACCCUUUUCUAGGGUACAGAUUUCAGUUGAUAAAUACAAACAAACACAAAAAAUUCAAUAACUAGAUGAUGCAGAGAGGGUUAGAAAAGAAUUUCAAAAAGAAGAGCAGACCCACAUCAGGGUGAUCAGUGGAGACAGCAAUUUAACUGCACUCAAAGUGGGUCCUAAAGAGAUGCUGACCUCAAACAGAUGUCAUGGCAGUGGGUCAAUCAUUGAGAUGCCUGACUGAAGUCUCAAGUACCACCAACAAGUCUGCCACACUGAAGGAAACUGUGUGGCUUGAAUGACAUGAAGGAUGACAUAGGUUCCCACACAGGAGAGGCCGAUCAGGUACAGCCCUGACAGAUGGGUGAUAUGAGGACCUGGAAUUUUAUCUGAGAGAGAUGGCCAGAUGCUGGUGAGUGCCGAGCAGGGACCGCAUGAGGAAUCUCCAGCUGUUCUCUAUAUAGAACAGACAGAACGAGAGAGACACAGAGAAUGGGUAGGAAGCUGGUUGUGAGGUGGGAGAUUCUGGUAGUGAAGAUCAGUUAGUGGCAGAAACAGGAGCCAUGACUGACUCUGUAAUAUACACAUAUAUUCCAUACACAUAAAUGUAUGUAUUUGUGUAGCUUGUAUGUGUACAUGUACAUAUGUGUGUCCAUGUGUAUGAGGCCAGAUGUUGACAUCAAGUGUUUUCCUCAGUUGCUCCUCACCUUAGUGUUUUGAGACAGGGUCUCUCACUGAGCGUGGAGCUCAUAGGUUGAGUUAGACUGGUUGGCCAAGGAGCUCCACCAGCCUCUGCCUCCCCAGCCCUACGGUUACAGGCAUGCCCCACCACACCUGAGCUUUACAUGGAUUCUGAGGAUUUGAACUCCAGCCUCAUGGUUGCAAGACAAGAACUUACCUGCCUGAGCAUCUCCCCAGGCCUUGGAAUAUAUUUUGAAGACAGUUAGAAAGAAGGGAAGCAGAUGAGAGAGAGAGAUGGAGGAAGAGAGAGGGAGAGCGCUAGGGCUAACUCAUAUUGCUAGUUUGCAUGGAGAGCACUAAACUGAGACCAGGUGUAUCAGGAAAGAUCGAGGGCGCUGAUCAUCCUCCCUUAAUGAGUCCUGAUACCUGACAGAGUGAAUCUCAUUACCUUACUCCUCAAAGUUUUCAUUGCUACUCUGGUCCUUUAAUAUUCCCAGUUUAGUUUAAUAUCAGCUUGUCACAUUCCAUAAAAAUGCCCUCCAAAGAUUUUGGCUAGAACUGUGUUAAACUUAUAGGUUAAUUUUAAAGUUUUGGCAUGUUAAUAAUGUUGAGUCUUUCUAUCACAGAAGUCUAAUAUUGCUUUCCAUUUGUGUAAAAAAAAUGUUGGAUAUUCUUUGACACCAUGAUACAG